GUUGUUAUGUAAGUGUUUCCUGUUUUUGUGUUUCUUGAAGUUGUUCUUGCAAUGUUUCUUGUAAUUGAAGAAAAUCGUGAUCCAAGUUAUCCUGAAGAGGAAGAUCCAUUUCUAAUCUUGAAUUGAAUUCAACUUUUAAAUUCAUAGAAUUCUGUUGAGGAACAUCAGGAUCAAAGGCGUUGAUCAGAAUUUCAACUAGUGAGAGCGGAGAAUUCUUUGGAUUUAACACCGUGUCUCCAAUUAUAUUGAGCUUCCUGCUUAAACUGUUUGGAAGAAUCAAAUUUCCUGUUUUGUUUCGAAGAAGGCCUUAAAAAAUCUAAGGUCGUUCCAGAAUAUGCAGAAAUGCCUUUUUUACUUCCAAAUAUUUGCAACAAAGUUCGAGAAGCAUGACUGAUUGCUUUGACUGUAUAAUCGGAAAAUCUAUAUAAAAUACAGGCGCCAAGUCCUUCAUUCGAAGCAUCUGCAGCAACAAUAAUCUCAUGUUUUGGAUUAUAAAGUCGAUGAAGAAUACGCAUGUUAUAAAUAAAUCGACCAUAAUAAUUGAUUGCACCAAGAAAUGAUUUUAAAGUUGAUAUGAGGAGCAUAUUUGUGAUUGCUUCUAUUUUUUUUGGAUCUGGAUGUAAAGAUCCACUACCGUCAAUAAUGUAACCAAGCUCCUCCGACUACAAUAUCAUCAAUGUAAGCGAAUACAUUGUUUAAGCCUAAAAUCAUGGAUUCAACUAUUGCUUGAAAUUCUCCAGGGGCAACUGUUACUCCAAAUGACUUAGCUUUUUUACUGGACGCAUAUCCAUCUUUGUGACCGACAGAAUUACACUUUUGACAUGCGAUUUAUAAGUGCAGUCCUUUGCAAAAUGUAAAUUUUCGCAAAACCAGCAAGACAUAGAUGGAACAGAAUUUUUAUCAGAUUUGACCAAAGCUACGGCACCUGAAGCCUCUAAUUUUUUAUUUUGAAUCAGCGAAGUAUCGUGCUUCAAAUUCACAAGCUUUUGACAUUCAAUUGCAAGAUCUUCAAUUGUGAGAGUAUCCGACCUGGUUUCAAUAAGAUUAAGUAACUUCGUACGAAUAUCACCAUCUGUAGAAGAUCGAAGUCUACAAGCUUAAGUUCUUCACAGCGCUUAUUAAUUAAAGCAGCGUAAGCUAAGAAAUCUUGAUUUAAUGAUUUCGUUGUGUUCAUACAAUUCAAUCUUUGAUGAAACAAAGAAAUUUUCUUUUCGAAUAUAUGAGAGUUUCGAAAUUGUAGUUUUUAAAUCAAAAUCUUUGUAUUCUCUUUUGGAAGAAUAAAAUCUAUGUACUGUU
Molecule: unclassified non-coding RNA, 1296 nt
Filed under: Monomorium pharaonis (pharaoh ant)
Lineage: Eukaryota; Metazoa; Arthropoda; Insecta; Hymenoptera; Formicidae
Description: protein tramtrack, alpha isoform, transcript variant X5
Source: RNAcentral